GUAGCCAUCCCGAGCCCGGCUGCCUCGCGGCCGCAAGGAGAACAGCCACGCGCGCCCCGGGAGCCGGCAGGUUGCGGCGAGCAGGGGCAGCGAACGCGGUUCUCCAAAGCAUAAAGGGGCUGAGCGACAGCGUGCGGGUGCCGGGUGAGUUCGGGGCCCGGUCGUGCCCGCUUAGCCCCCAGAGGCAGCUCUGAGAGCUUCGAGGGCAGCGCCCGUGAGGAAGUGGCGCCUCUUCCCUCGGCGGCACCCGCCGCGAUUCUCGGUUUCCUGCCUGCGUGUUGUUGUUCCACCUGUUUGUGAACGCUUUUGCUGCCCGCACUGUACGCACACGUGCGUUCGCGUUCCGCCCUCAUUUCAGACGUUGCACUGGGAUAAUUGAGCUCAUGCAAAACGCUGCGUGGAAGUAAUUAAAACUGUUUUCGCCUGUGCCGUUCCUGCCGGGCUCGUACAAGCUGAGGUAUUUUCUGUAGGUGCAUCUUCAUGCAAGCACUCGUGCUUGCUGUGUUCAUUUCAGUGCACUGCUGUGUGGCUGCAGGCCCAACGUGGUCUGUUUGCUGUAGAACUGCAGGUUCAAUUCUAGAGGGGAAAAAAGGAACAGGAGAGGUCAAAAAGAAGCAAACAAUUUACUACAAGCAAAUUCAAAACGUUUUGUGUUCUUAUGCUUCCACUGAGCACCAGACAAACUCAGCAACCUGAAGUGCUGUUUAUCAUGCAGUACAGGAGAAGCCUAUGGAUGUCUCCAUGAGUUAAUUUUGCAUAAAAGCAAAAUUAAGGUAUUUGUACUCUGACAGUGCACAUCUGUACACAAGUGAGAUAUUUUCCACUGCAUUGAUAUUAUCCAUAAGCUUGCACGUGUACAAAUUCAUAUGCAGGCUUAGUUCAGUGCAACUACUGGCUUUAAUUUCUGUUUUGUGUGGCCAGGCAAUUGCAGGCUGGGAUGAAGAGUUGAAGGUAGAGGGGAGGAAAACUUUACCUGCUGGUUGUCUAACAGUCACAGUUCUACAAAGAAUAUCGAAAACAUUCAUGAAUCAAGGGAAACAGUUUUAAUGCAAGGUCACACUGGUCUUCCUCACUGCUUGCUGUCAUGUACAUCAGAUGUCACAAGUGAAGAUACACCACCCCAGGCUAAACUGGGAAUUGUCUCAGGAACAGGGUUAGACUGGAAUAAAACUGUUGAGGUGUGUGCCUUCUGUGGUGAAUAGAAAUUCCUCACAUGCACUUUGAGUUCUUGAGUAUUUUUUUUUACUUAUGUUGCAGUUUUCAUCUACAGAAGGAAUUCUAACUUGGAAGGUCAUGUAGGUCACAUUUCUGACCCUGUUGGCAUCAUAUAAACAUCUUUAUGUAAGAAGAGCCUUAAGGUACCUUACUCAAAUCUUAGGUAUAAAGAAUUUCAGAAGUUGUUCAUACAGCACAAUUGUGAGAAAGGCUAUGUGGGAGAGUCCUACUUACUCUGCCUUCACCACACAUUCAAGCUCAACUUUUACCAUAGCCAGAGUUCCAGUUAUCCAGUGAAAUCUGUGCUAGCAUAGCUUUGCUUUAAUUCAUAUGAAGCCGUCAUGAAUCAUUAGGCAGAAAUCAAAAAGCUUAGUGAAGCUUUGGGUGCAUUGUGGAACAAUGUGGAAGAGCAAGGAAAGACAGUUAUACAAUAAUUUAAUCUUUUAGAGCGUGGUAGUGUGAUGCCAAGCUUUAAAAUUUAUUUGGACUUUUUUUUUGAGAACAAGUGUUUAAAGAUAUAUGCAAGUAAUCAAAAAUUACUGCAUUAUUCUACCUUAAUUACUUCAUAUACUUGUCAUCACACAUGUGGUCCAUUACUGCUACUAUUGCAGAGGAGUCUAUGUGUGUGCUUUGUAAGGCGUGGUCAGAAGGAAACACAAAGAGUACCCCACACAAAGAAAACUUGCAGCUGUAUGAGCAGGUGUCAACAGUUGAUAAACUCUGAGUGUCUGAAACAGACAGCUGAUUUAGAUCAUGCUCAGUGUAGACUACCCACUGAAUGAAGGCUAGACAUAGUUACCCUGUAAAGACAGGGCCUAUAAACUUUUUUUGUAUUCCCAGUGUAAUUUAUACUACUUGUAAGGACAAGGUCUUGGGUUCUGUGAUAGAAGUGUAUUGGUACAAGAAUUGAAAAAAGAACAAAACAUUGUUAGCUAUAUCUCUGAUAAUUGAAUCAUUCUUCCUCCAGAUUCCAGAAAAUACAAGGCAUUGCUGGACAGCUGUAGCUCUACAUUUAAGUACUCUGACAGUGAAUUACUGAGCAAGAGAGAACAUUCCAAGGAGGCGGGUGACAAGCACACAGAGCUCACUGCUAAACUACUACAAUCAAUUACUCUAAUCUUCUCUCUUUGAAUGGAAUUGCAACAUUUUGCAUCGCAGCAAAGACAAACAUCUAGCUGUCCAGAAGGAAAGAGGACUGAGGACUUCUGCUAAUACUGCCCCUUGCUUUCUGUGUGGCUGCUUUCUGUUACAGUAGCAUCCAAAUGUGAUUAAUAAGGACAGCAAAAAGGAAAGCAAUGGGUGAGUGAAUGUUUGCUUGUCAUUGACCACCUGGUUCACUUUGGCAUGGCAGAAUUUAAACUCAGUAGGAUUAGAACUAAAUUUUUUUUUUAGG
Non-coding RNA from Meleagris gallopavo (turkey), 2608 nucleotides. The record is from RefSeq and is a predicted model, not a curated record. NCBI's taxonomy places the organism in Eukaryota, Metazoa, Chordata, Aves, Galliformes, Phasianidae.